Molecule: small nuclear RNA, 309 nt
Filed under: Nannospalax galili (Upper Galilee mountains blind mole rat)
Lineage: Eukaryota; Metazoa; Chordata; Mammalia; Rodentia; Spalacidae
Description: 7SK RNA (ENSNGAG00000008476.1)
Rfam family: 7SK RNA
About the family: 7SK was discovered as an abundant small nuclear RNA in the mid-70s but a possible function has only recently been suggested.
Source: Rfam by way of RNAcentral
AGAUGUGAGGGAGAUCUGCGUGUGACAGCUCUCACUCCAUUGAUUUCCAUUUGGCUGAUCUGGCUGGCUAGGCUGAUGUCACUUUCCUCCCUCGUUGCUCCCUCAGUGCCACCCUCCUGAAGUUGCAUGUUUGGUGGAAGAGAAUGACCUUCCCUGAUUGAGAAGAAGGACCUUUCUUCUAUCAACAAUAUGUGAUUAGCUGGGCUCCAUGUUAGAACCACCAAAUAAGCUCACAAGAGAGCUCGGAGGGACCUAACUGGAGUUUAUUCACGUUGUCUUUUCCAAUAGUGUUAGGGCCCAAAGAAUAAC